UUCUCCACAUCAUUCUCCUGAUGGAAGACCAGACGGGGUUCCCUCUCUGCUGUUUGUGCUGAGCAGCUGCUCGGAGAGGUGGUGAAUGAGUGCAGAUACACUCAGUGAUGGUUCUAAUGUGGGAAUUGCCCCAGUUGUGGUUGCUGCUGAUGCUGCCCUGGGAAGAUGCCUUGACAGGGAAUUAACUCCAGUCAGUGAUGGGCUGUGGGACAAGCAAGGUGCUUCCCGAGCCCCCCAAGGAUGUGCAGCUAGACCUGGUGAAAAAAGUCGAACCCUACACGGGCCACAAUGAUAUAUACAAGCAUUUCAUCAAAGAUGACUGUGGGGCUGUCAUCAAAGCUGGCUCUCCCUCACCUCCGCGUCACACUAACCCCUAUCCUGGGAACCAUCUGCCUGCCCACGUGGACCAGCCUGAACCCCUCAAGAACAAAGUGGCUAAAUACCGUGCCAAAUUUGACCCCAGAGUGACAGCCAAGUAUGACAUUAAAGCUCUGAUCGGGAGAGGGAGUUUUAGCCGUGUUGUGCGGGUGGAGCACAAGGCCACCAAGCAGCCCUACGCAAUCAAGAUGAUAGAGACCAAAUACCGGGAGGGGAGGGAAGUGUGCGAGUCGGAGCUCAGCGUGCUGCGGCGGGUUCGACACACCAAUAUCAUCCAGCUCAUCGAAGUGUUUGAGACCCAGGACCGUGUGUACAUGGUGAUGGAAUUGGCCACCGGAGGAGAACUGUUUGAUCGAAUCAUCGCUAAAGGUUCCUUCACCGAGAGAGAUGCCACACGUGUGCUGCAAAUGGUGUUAGACGGUGUGAAGUACCUGCAUACGCUGGGUAUCACACACCGGGACUUAAAACCAGAGAAUCUGCUGUACUACCAUCCAGGGACUGACUCCAAGAUCAUGAUUACAGACUUUGGGCUGGCCAGUGCUCGGAAGAAGGGAGAUGACUGCUUGAUGAAAACCACAUGCGGGACCCCGGAGUACAUUGCUCCCGAGAUCCUGGUCAGGAAGCCCUAAGGUGGGCCCUGGGUGUUAUCUCCUACAUUCUCCUGAGCGGCACGAUGCCCUUUGAAGAUGACAACCGCACCCGCUUGUAUCGCCAGAUCCUGAAAGGAAAAUACAGUUACUCAGGCGAG
Molecule: RNA transcript, 1126 nt
Organism: Pterocles gutturalis (yellow-throated sandgrouse)
Lineage: Eukaryota; Metazoa; Chordata; Aves; Pterocliformes; Pteroclidae
Gene name: serine/threonine-protein kinase H1 pseudogene
Exons: 2
Source: RefSeq, a predicted model, not a curated record